Molecule: transfer RNA, 65 nt
Filed under: Fukomys damarensis (Damara mole-rat)
Lineage: Eukaryota; Metazoa; Chordata; Mammalia; Rodentia; Bathyergidae
Rfam family: tRNA
About the family: Transfer RNA (tRNA) molecules are approximately 80 nucleotides in length. Their secondary structure includes four short double-helical elements and three loops (D, anti-codon, and T loops).
Source: Rfam by way of RNAcentral
GGUGUAGCUCAGUAGUAGAGCGCUUGCCUAACACGAGCAAAGCCUUGGGUUCAAUCCCCAACACC